UACGUAGGGGGCGAGCGUUGUCCGGAUUUAUUGGGCGUAAAGAGCUCGUAGGCGGUUUGUUGCGUCGGCUGUGAAAUCCCGAGGCUCAACCUCGGGUCUGCAGUCGAUACGAGCAAACUAGAGUGUUGCAGGGGAGACUGGAAUUCCUGGUGUAGCGGUGAAAUGCGCAGAUAUCAGGAAGAACACCUAUGGCGAAGGCAGCUCUCUGGGACGGUACUGACGCUGAGACGCGAAAGCGUGGGGAGCGAACAGG
RNAcentral lists this ribosomal RNA (253 nucleotides) under uncultured bacterium. Its description in RNAcentral is "partial 16S ribosomal RNA". It matches the Rfam family "Bacterial small subunit ribosomal RNA", at positions 524 to 776 of the family's 1533-position model. The record is from RNAcentral.